GCCCCGGUAGCUCAGUUGGCAGAGCGGCCGCCUUGUAAGCGGCAGGCCGGGGGUUCGAGGCCCCCCCGGGGCU
Molecule: transfer RNA, 73 nt
Rfam family: tRNA
About the family: Transfer RNA (tRNA) molecules are approximately 80 nucleotides in length. Their secondary structure includes four short double-helical elements and three loops (D, anti-codon, and T loops).